Myodes glareolus (Bank vole) is the source of this 2909-nucleotide long non-coding RNA. RefSeq lists it as uncharacterized. The record is from RefSeq and is a predicted model, not a curated record. NCBI's taxonomy places the organism in Eukaryota, Metazoa, Chordata, Mammalia, Rodentia, Cricetidae.
CAGGUGACUUUUCACAUUAGAAUGAAAAGAUAAGAGCAAGAGGGACCCCCUUGAAGAAGUCCUUUCCAGAGACCCGCAUUCCAAGUACCUCAUUGUCUCUUCUCUUAAUGCUCUAUGCUGAGGUAGUCUCAAAGUGGAUGUUAAUUUUUAUUUACUUACAAACAAAACUAGUUGGGAGAUUGACUUAGGCUCCCUAGGAGUUCCUUAUGACUAGAGAGCACCACAGAGAAGAGUUCAAAAACCGGACCUUCACACCUCACUCUGAAUAGCUUAAAAGAGUGGCUGAGUCUCAUUAACAUCCCUCCUCACCCUCAGUAGCUCAGCGUGUUGAGCCUUCUGCCUCAGUGUUACUGAGAUCAGCGACAGUCAGCGGAUCAAGGGUGGAAUCAGCACACGGAGGGAAGGACCUGUGCACAACCAUCCAGGGAAGGAAAAACACUCUCAAUCCUGAGGACAGAGAACUGAAGCUGGCAAGCCAAGGAUGUCAACAAGCGGUCUCCUUCAUAAGGCUCCCAGGGUUCCCUGGGUGAGAAAAACCUGUCCCAGUGCUGACGGCUCUCCGGUGCGCUGUUGCCAGAAGGUCUUCUCUUUAUUUUGAUUCUGGUGCCCUGACCCAGCAACUCAGUUUUACUCCAAGAUUUGCUUGCUAGUCUCUGGCAUUAUCCUUGCUUCAGGGAGCACAUUUUCCUACCCCUGCUCAUACACCACCUGUCUCCUAACUCUGCAUUCUCAUUUGGGUCAAAGAUAAUUUGAGCAAGUCUGAUGUGGUAACACGUCCAAACCAGAAUCGGUGCGCCCUUUAGAGGUGACAGCUCCCGUGUGUGUAAGAACCUGACACGCCACCCCUUCCUUACCCGGACCUGACAGGGAUUCCCAUGGUCCGAAUGAAAGCCUCAAGAAGACCAUGUUCUCUGCUUUGUGGCUUUGUAAAAAUCCAGCCUAAAGACUUCUUAAAUCUCGGCUAUUCCUCACAAGGAAGUGUGCGUGAGCGUUCCACAGUGAGAUCUACAGACAAAACACUUCCCUGCAGUUCCAGGUUCACCUGCCGCCCAGUUGGCAUUGAAUUCUUAGGGUGACUUUCUCGGAAGCAAUCAGUCCUAUCUUUCCUUAACAAUUCUGGAGUCCUGUUCCUGGGGGCCUCCGAGGUCAGUUCAGCAUCAAACAGGAGAGCACCGCGGUCCCAGCCUGCCCUCCCUGAACGUCCUUCCUUGACCGUUCUCCCCCUUGGGCGCUCCUGUGUCCCCGCCACAACCUGGUAACAGCGCCACAAGCCCAAGGCUCAAGACCCUCUCUGUCCCGUGGCUCCUUACCUAGGCACUGAGCUGAGUUUUUCCGGGGUACCCGGGGCCCUCCCUGAGUACACCGAUGCCACCAGCGCGAUUCAGAUCCAAUUGCCUCUCGCAGCCAACAGAGCAGGCUUCCGGACAGUCGUUCUCAGUCGGGGGGAUGGGGUAUCUCUAAGGUGGGUUGAGCAGGCGGCCGCUGAAGAUCUACCCUUAGGCUCGACCCUCCCCUCCUGAGGUUGUUGUGGAGGAGGAACAGGGGAGGAGCGUUUGGCCUGGCCUCCCGCCAGUUCUGAGCUGCUGCGGCUGUGGCUCUCACAGUGCUCGCCCCAGGGCGGGCCACUAAGAGCCUACGCGUGGAUCCUACCUGCCUGAAGCUGUGAUGGACUCUUAGGUUCCUAGUUAGACACCCAAGUCUUGCCAGGUCUGUUACGCGAUGAGCUGUGUGCCACCCCCAGGCGUAUUUUGUUAGUUUCAUCCUGUUCUCCAAAUCCACAAAGAGCACGGGAAUCGCUAAGCACCAGUUUAGAAUCUGAAAUAUUCUGCACAGUCCGCAUUUUGAUACUUUGUACCCGGAACCCCUGUUCACUCCUUUGUAGACUCUGUUCCAGACGAAAAGGCCUGACGCUGAGUAGCCUCCUUCCUUUGCUGAUAUUGAGGGACAUCGUAUUUAAGGUUCUGUCUCAUAGUUCAGUCUAACUCGGUCAUUACCGCUUAUGGUAAAGGCGCUUCCCUCCACAUAGAACAUUCCCUCCGUGAGUGAAGCAGCCGAGUUUUCUCCUCGAACUCAUUUUCCAACCAUUUUUAAAAAUCUUCAUCUAAAACUACUUAGGAACUUAAGGGAUAGCGUGAGAGUGGAGAGACAGUAUGAAGUGGCCACGAAGAUGCAAACACAGGAGGGACUCCAGAACUGCGGAUGUCAAAAACUCUUAUGCUUUCGCGAGAAAUCAGUCGACUCACGCUGAUGCGGCAUUCGUGUCCUUUGCAGCCUGACCGCAACCACCUCCUGGAAGCCUUCCAUCUUCAGCUCAGUUUACAUUCUGCCGCCCUGGAUGCCAUGCCGCAGCAUCUCCUUCGCUGGUGGGAUUUACCUUUUUGGCUGUCGUUCAGGUCCUGGUGAACAGUCCCGUGGCUUAUUUGUUGAGUGCUUAAUAAAAGGACUGUUGAUAGACUUAGAAACAGAAUCCAGGGAGCACAGUCAAUGGAGCAUAGUAUAUUGUUUCUGACCAAGCAGCACUGAGAGCCCCGACCAGCCAUUCACUUGAAGGAGCAAGUCCAGAAAGCCAUGGCUGGGACUCAGCAAGGGAUUCUCUGUGGAGAAAACCACCCCACAAGUCUGUGACCUUCACAGUCAGGCUGACAGGCCACCCAAGGGAGUCAGCUUCCUAACCCAUUCUUCAUAGUCUCCCCAACAUAGAUGCAAGUCGUUGGCAUGAGAGUCAAUGGGCAGAACAAUGGGGGUGAGGUGGACCUGAUGAGACAAAUAGAGAAGUUCCAACUUACUCCACAAUGCUGGGUCUCAAAGUAGUUUGUGCUCUUCUUAGGCCAUCUCACAUGACUAGAAUUACACUUCAUUUGUGCAAUAUUUCACUUCCUCAAAUAUACUAACACCCACAUAAAGAGAGU